UGGGGAAUAUUGGACAAUGGGCGAAAGCCUGAUCCAGCCAUGCCGCGUGUGUGAAGAAGGUCUUCGGAUUGUAAAGCACUUUAAGUUGGGAGGAAGGGCAGUAAGCGAAUACCUUGCUGUUUUGACGUUACCGACAGAAUAAGCACCGGCUAACUCUGUGCCAGCAGCCGCGGUAAUACAGAGGGUGCAAGCGUUAAUCGGAAUUACUGUGCGUAAAGCGCGCGUAGGUGGUUCGUUAAGUUGAAUGUGAAAGCCCCGGGCUCAACCUGGGAACUGCAUCCAAAACUGGCGGGCUAGAGUAGGGCAGAGGGUGGUGGAAUUUCCUGUGUAGCGGUGAAAUGCGUAGAUAUAGGAAGGAACACCAGUGGCGAAGGCGACCACCUGGGCUCAUACUGACACUGAGGUGCGAAAGCGUGGGGAGCAAACAGG
Molecule: ribosomal RNA, 429 nt
Filed under: Pseudomonadota bacterium
Lineage: Bacteria; Pseudomonadati; Pseudomonadota
Description: Proteobacteria bacterium partial 16S ribosomal RNA
Rfam family: Bacterial small subunit ribosomal RNA
Source: RNAcentral